GUCUUUGUUAUCAGCCACAAACCAAACUACCAACGCUGCUGCUCCCAAGUGAGGGAGAUAGUUUUGCUGCUGACUUCCAAAAAUACAGGAAGCAACUCAGUUCUUUUGAAGAAUACAAAAAACAAACAAAAAAACCAAACCGAAACAGAAAACCUAAAUGAUAAUGACACUGAUUCCAUAUCCUGUUUUUUCCAGCAGAUUUUAUGAUGCUUCUUGUUAUUCCAGCAGUGUCAGGGACAGGGGAUCAUGCCCCUGUCCCCUGCCACUGUGCUGAGGGUGCACUCGGUGCCACUGUGUGUCGCUGACAAAGAGCCUGAGGAGCCCCAGGGCCCAGGAAGAGCCCUGAGGGACAACCCUCAUCCCCAGCCUCCCCUGGGCCAUGGAGCCCACUCCCAAUUCUUCCUGCGCUGCCCAUCCCGGCCUGCAAAAUCCGUGAGGGGGCCAGGUGUGGCCCUUUGUGACACAGCCACCUUCCAGGGCUCUUUGUGAUGCGGGACACAGCGGUGCCCAGACACCUUUGUGACAUCGGAGACCCCGCCCUGCCCCAGGGGUAUAUAAGGAGCACAGCGCUCAGCCCAUCUCAGACGCUCCCAGGAGGGAGCAGGUCCCAGGAUCUCUCCAGGGCUCAUAGCCGGACUUGAGGAGGAGGCCAAGUGGACAUCCCAUCGGCCAGAGAGGAGUGCCAGAUCGACACUGGGACCAGGAUUAACAUUGCAUCAUCGGGAUCAGCGCUGGAAAUGGGAUUAACAUCUCAUCAUUGGGAAAGAUCGGCGCUGGCACCGGGAUUAAAAUACCUUCUUCUUCAUCAUCAUCUUCUUCAUCAUCAUCAUCUUCUUCAUCAUCAUCUUCUUCAUCAUCAUCAUCUUCUUCUUCAUCAUCAUCAUCUUCUUCAUCAUCAUCAUCAUCUUCUUCAUCAUCAUCUUCUUCAUCAUCAUCAUCUUCUUCAUCAUCAUCAUCUUCGUCUUCUUCGUCUUCUUCAUCUUCUUUGUCUUCAUCUUCUUUGUCUUCUUUAUCUUCUUAGUCUUUAUCUUCUUAGUCUUCUUCAUCUUCUUUGUCUUUUUUAUCUUCUUAGUCUUCUUUAUCUUCUUCGUCUUCUUCAUCUUCUUCGUCUUCUUCAUCUUCUUUGUCUUCUUCAUCUUCAUCGUCAUCAUCAUCUUCAUCGUCAUCAUCAUCUUCAUCGUCAUCAUCAUCUUCAUCUUCAUCACCAUCAUCUCCAUCUUCAUCAUCACCAUCAUCUCCAUCUUCAUCAUCCUCAUCAUCAUCAUCCUCAUCAUCAUCCUCAUCUUCAUCAUCAUCUUUUCUUCUUUUCAUCUUUUCUUCUUUUCUUCUUUUCUUCUUCUUUUUUCUUCUUUUCUUCUUCUUUUCUUUUCUUCUUUUCUUUUCUUUCUUUUCUUUUCUUUUCUUUUCUUUUCUUUUCUUUUCUUUUCUUUUCUUUUCUUUUCUUUUCUUUUCUUUUCUUUUCUUUUCUUCUUUUCUUUUCUUUUCUUUUCUUUUCUUUUCUUUUCUUUUCUUUUCUUUUCUUUUCUUUUCUUUUCUUUUCUUUUCUUUUCUUUUCUUCUUCUUUUCUUCUUUUCCUCUUUUUCUUCUUUUCCUUUUCUUCUUCUUUUCUUCUUCUUCUUCUUUUUCUUCUUCCUUGUCUCUCCUACUCUCCCCUUCUUUCUCUUUCCCUUCCCCCUUUUUUUUUUAAUUUAUUUUUUAUUCUUGUUCCUCACCUUUCUCUCCAAGGAGAAAUCCUUCCCUCUCUUUUACUCCUUCUGCCUUAUGCUUCCCAUCCCUCCCCUUUGUUCUUUCUUCUGAUUUAGAAGAAAAUCAGGAAUUUAUUCCACAGAACUGUGAAAUCAAUAGUAUUCAUUUU
This 1855-nucleotide long non-coding RNA is filed under the name Manacus vitellinus (golden-collared manakin). RNAcentral describes it as "lncRNA (ENSMVIG00005018027.1)". The record is from RNAcentral. Lineage: Eukaryota; Metazoa; Chordata; Aves; Passeriformes; Pipridae.